Molecule: ribosomal RNA, 429 nt
Filed under: Actinomycetes bacterium
Lineage: Bacteria; Bacillati; Actinomycetota; Actinomycetes
Description: Actinobacteria bacterium partial 16S ribosomal RNA
Rfam family: Bacterial small subunit ribosomal RNA
Source: RNAcentral
UAGGGAAUCUUCCGCAAUGGGCGAAAGCUUGACGGAGCAACGCCGCGUGAGUGAUGAAGGUCUUCGGAGCGUAAAACUCUGUUAUUAGGGAAGAACAAAUGUGUAAGUAACUAUGCACGUCUUGACGGUACCUAAUCAGAAAGCCACGGCUAACUACGUGCCAGCAGCCGCGGUAAUACGUAGGUGGCAAGCGUUAUCCGGAAUUAUUGGGCGUAAAGCGCGCGUAGGCGGUUUUUUAAGUCUGAUGUGAAAGCCCACGGCUCAACCGUGGAGGGUCAUUGGAAACUGGAAAACUUGAGUGCAGAAGAGGAAAGUGGAAUUCCAUGUGUAGCGGUGAAAUGCGCAGAGAUAUGGAGGAACACCAGUGGCGAAGGCGACUUUCUGGUCUGUAACUGACGCUGAUGUGCGAAAGCGUGGGGAUCAAACAGG